CAGGAUGAACGCUGGCGGCGUGCCUAAUACAUGCAAGUCGAACGAGGUAGCAAUACCGAGUGGCGAACGGGUGAGUAACACGUAGGUAACCUGCCCUUAAGCUUGGGAUACCCAGAGGAAACUUUGGCUAAUACCGGAUAACAACAGAGAAGGCAUCUUCUUUGCUUGAAAGGCCCCUUCAAGGGUCACUUAAGGAUGGACCUGCGGCGCAUUAGCUAGUUGGUGAGAUAACAGCCCACCAAGGCGAGGAUGCGUAGCCGAACUGAGAGGUUGAUCGGCCACAUUGGAACUGAGACACGGUCCAAACUCCUACGGGAGGCAGCAGUAAGGAGUUUUCGGCAAUGGGGGAAACCCUGACCGAGCAACGCCGCGUGAGCGAUGACGGUCCUUUGGAAUUGUAAAGCUCUGUUGUAAGCCAUGAAUGACAGCUUGAGGAAAUGCAAGUUGUUUGACGACAGCUUACCAGAAAGCCACGGCUAACUACGUGCCAGCCGCGGC
RNAcentral lists this ribosomal RNA (498 nucleotides) under uncultured bacterium. RNAcentral describes it as "bacterial SSU rRNA". It matches the Rfam family "Bacterial small subunit ribosomal RNA", at positions 25 to 518 of the family's 1533-position model. The record is from RNAcentral.